Molecule: ribosomal RNA, 253 nt
Filed under: uncultured bacterium
Lineage: Bacteria
Description: partial 16S ribosomal RNA
Rfam family: Bacterial small subunit ribosomal RNA
Source: RNAcentral
UACGGAGGGGGCUAGCGUUGUUCGGAAUUACUGGGCGUAAAGCGCACGUAGGCGGCUUUGUAAGUCAGGGGUGAAAUCCCGGGGCUCAACCUCGGAACUGCCUUUGAUACUGCAAAUCUCGAGUCCGGAAGAGGUGAGUGGAAUUCCUAGUGUAGAGGUGAAAUUCGUAGAUAUUAGGAAGAACACCAGUGGCGAAGGCGGCUCACUGGGCCGGUACUGACGCUGAGGCGCGAAAGCGUGGGGAGCAAACAGG